RNAcentral lists this long non-coding RNA (1217 nucleotides) under Parus major (Great Tit). Its description in RNAcentral is "lncRNA (ENSPMJG00000015314.1)". The record is from RNAcentral. Lineage: Eukaryota; Metazoa; Chordata; Aves; Passeriformes; Paridae.
UGCUUCAUACUUCCCUGUGCUGCUGCAAAUCACCAUGGAAGGCUCAAGAUGGAGGGAACAGGGCCUGGGUGGCUUGUGCCUUCCUCCCACAAAGAUCACCAAAUGCUCCCGGCGCUUACUUCCGACACAUCCAAGGAGUUCUGCAACAACAGAAGGGGAAACAAGGCUUCACAGUCCUCAUCUUUCACUGAGAGGAAUAACAGCACAUCUACAGAGUGGCGUUUACCUAUUCGCUCGCGCCGUGGCUGCCACGCAACCUAUCUGGGCGGCCGGCUGGCACAGCCCGCGGUCACCGGAGCGAUGCCGAAGAGGAAACUCCGGGUCCCUCUUGGGGCGAGGGGCGCGCUGCGGGCCGGCUCCGGGCGGGCAGCUCUCCCUCCUCGGCGGCGGCGGCGGCGGGGAUGCUCCGCUCUGCGGCCAGCGGCGGGCAGCGUCCAUUGCAGCUCGGCGGGUCCGCGUCCGGAGUCCAGGGGCUCCGGCAGCCAGCGGGGGCACCCGGCCCCCGCUCCCCUAAACACCGCUGGCCAGGGGUGACUCCUCAUGCUCUUGGGAGAUUCAUGCUUUUUUUCUGAAGCCCACAAUUGUCUACUUCCCACCUUAUAGCUGUCUUCCUCUAUCAAGUCAAUUGUACCUAGAAAAAGCUUUUUGUACCUUGUGGCUUUGUUGUAGCCACUAAUUAUUCUCUGCUGAAAAGAAGAGGAUGCUGGUGUGGCUACCAUUACAGAGCUAAGAGGAGGCAGAAGGUGAGUGGGGAUUAUUUAGGCCAGAACAGCAGGUUCUGUAUCCCGAGGCACAGUCCCUUACAGUCUUCAGCUGCCCCUACUGGGCUGCUCUCCACUCUCAAGUAGUAGAACUGAUGUCAGAGGCUCACCAUUCAAUCUUCCUUAUGUUGCUAUGUAGUUGUCAGGGAUUAACUUUUGUUAGUAAAGCAGGAACAGGCAAGUCCUAUUAAGAAAACAUGACUGGUAGCAGUAGCUGAACUAACCUGAUACAAGAGUACUUGCCCAGUGACUCAAUGUACCCCUCAUCAAGCAACACUUUAGAAUGAACCACCAACCAGUAAAACUCAGCCAACCUGGAUGGUGCUCUCCACCUCAUGAUACUCAUCUACCUCAACCUGAAGGGCAAUAACAGAGCCCUACCCUUAGGAGUAUCCGGGACCAAGCCUGUGUAGCUGGAACCAGCACAAUAAAUGCUGCUCCUCUCAUCUAUUGACA